RNAcentral lists this ribosomal RNA (485 nucleotides) under uncultured bacterium. Its description in RNAcentral is "partial 16S ribosomal RNA". It matches the Rfam family "Bacterial small subunit ribosomal RNA", at positions 28 to 507 of the family's 1533-position model. The record is from RNAcentral.
GAUGAACGCUAGCGACAGGCUUAACACAUGCAAGUCGAGGGGCAGCACAGGUAGCAAUACCGGGUGGCGACCGGCGCACGGGUGAGUAACGCGUAUGCAACUUACCUAUCAGAGGGGGAUAACCCGGCGAAAGUCGGACUAAUACCGCAUGAAGCAGGGGUCCCGCAUGGGGAUAUUUGCUAAAGAUUCAUCACUGAUAGAUAGGCAUGCGUUCCAUUAGGCAGUUGGCGGGGUAACGGCCCACCAAACCGACGAUGGAUAGGGGUUCUGAGAGGAAGGUCCCCCACAUUGGUACUGAGACACGGACCAAACUCCUACGGGAGGCAGCAGUGAGGAAUAUUGGUCAAUGGCCGAGAGGCUGAACCAGCCAAGUCGCGUGAGGGAUGAAGGUUCUAUGGAUCGUAAACCUCUUUUAUAAGGGAAUAAAGUGCGGGACGUGUCCCGUUUUGUAUGUACCUUAUGAAUAAGGAUCGGCUAACUCCGUG